GUAGUCCUAGCCCUAAACGAUGGGUACUAGGUAGUAGACUAGACAUGGGUUUACUGCCGAAGCUAAAGUGCUAAGUACCCCGCCUGGGGAGUAUGGUCGCAAGGCUGAAACUCAAAGAAAUUGACGGGGGCUCACACAAGCGGUGGAGCAUGUGGCUUAAUUCGAGGCUACGCGAAGAACCUUAUCCUGGACUUGACAUGUGCGAAAGCGCUAGGUAGUAGAACCCGGAAACGGGGACGAAUGCCCGCAAGGGUAGAGCCUAGUACAGGUGCUGCAUGGCUGUCGUCAGCUCGUGUCGUGAGAUGUCGGGUUAAGUCCCAUAACGAGCGAAACCCUUACCCUUAGUUGCAACCGCAAGGGCACUCUAGGGGGACUGCCGGUGUUAAACCGGA
RNAcentral lists this ribosomal RNA (392 nucleotides) under uncultured bacterium. Its description in RNAcentral is "bacterial SSU rRNA". It matches the Rfam family "Bacterial small subunit ribosomal RNA", at positions 790 to 1167 of the family's 1533-position model. The record is from RNAcentral.